AGGUGAACCUGCGGAAGGAUCAUUACCGAGUUUUCGGGCUUCGGCUCGACUCUCCCACCCUUUGUGAACGUACCUCUGUUGCUUUGGCGGCUUCGGCCGCCAAAGGACCUUCAAACUCCAGUCAGUAAACGCAGACGUCUGAUAAACAAGUUAAUAAACUAAAACUUUCAACAACGGAUCUCUUGGUUCUGGCAUCGAUGAAGAACGCAGCGAAAUGCGAUAAGUAAUGUGAAUUGCAGAAUUCAGUGAAUCAUCGAAUCUUUGAACGCACAUUGCGCCCCUUGGUAUUCCGGGGGGCAUGCCUGUUCGAGCGUCAUUACAACCCUCAAGCUCUGCUUGGAAUUGGGCACCGUCCUCACUGCGGACGCGCCUCAAAGACCUCGGCGGUGGCUGUUCAGCCCUCAAGCGUAGUAGAAUACACCUCGCUUUGGAGCGGUUGGCGUCGCCCGCCGGACGAACCUUCUGAACUUUUCUCAAGGUUGACCUCGGAUCAGGUAGGGAUACCCGCUGAACUUAAGCAUAUCAAUAAG
This 530-nucleotide ribosomal RNA is filed under the name Lasiodiplodia theobromae. Its description in RNAcentral is "eukaryotic LSU rRNA". The stretch from base 163 to 316 matches the Rfam family "5.8S ribosomal RNA". Lineage: Eukaryota; Fungi; Ascomycota; Dothideomycetes; Botryosphaeriales; Botryosphaeriaceae. The record is from RNAcentral.